GAAGCACGCCAGACCGCCGCUGGUGCAAGUGCCGAAAGGCCGCACUGGAGGAACGUCCGGACUGCACAGGACAGCGUAGCAGCUAACGGCUGCCCACCGUGAGGUGAGGAUCAGAGCAACAGAGACGAGUCCGGCGGGAGUACCGCAAGGUAGACCAGCCGGGGUGAAACGGGCAAUCUCUACGCGCAGCAAUACCAAGUAGGCCAGCGUUGAUGUGGUUCCGCAGAGCUGGCGGGUAGGUAGCAUCGAGCCGGGUGGGCGACCCCCGGCCCAGAGUAAUGGCGGUCACGCCCGGGCAACCGGGUGCACAGAAUCCGGCUUAUCGGCGCGCUUCACAC
RNAcentral lists this RNase P RNA (338 nucleotides) under Acidovorax sp. Its description in RNAcentral is "RNase P RNA component class A". It matches the Rfam family "Bacterial RNase P class A". From Rfam's summary of the family: Ribonuclease P (RNase P) is a ubiquitous endoribonuclease, found in archaea, bacteria and eukarya as well as chloroplasts and mitochondria. Its best characterised activity is the generation of mature 5'-ends of tRNAs by cleaving the 5'-leader elements of precursor-tRNAs. RNAcentral also lists the same sequence under 1 other name. Lineage: Bacteria; Pseudomonadati; Pseudomonadota; Betaproteobacteria; Burkholderiales; Comamonadaceae. The record is from RNAcentral.